Molecule: ribosomal RNA, 921 nt
Filed under: Halomonas sp. WD8-1
Lineage: Bacteria; Pseudomonadati; Pseudomonadota; Gammaproteobacteria; Oceanospirillales; Halomonadaceae
Description: bacterial SSU rRNA
Rfam family: Bacterial small subunit ribosomal RNA
Source: RNAcentral
GGGGCGGCCUAACAAUGCCAGUCGAGCGGAACGAUCCUAGCUUGCUAGGAGGCGUCGAGCGGCGGACGGGUGAGUAAUGCAUAGGAAUCUGCCCGGUAGUGGGGGAUAACCUGAGGAAACUCAGGCUAAUACCGCAUACGUCCUACGGGAGAAAGCAGGGGCUCUUCGGACCUUGCGCUAUCGGAUGAGCUUAUGUCGGAUUAGCUGGUUGGUGAGGUAACGGCUCACCAAGGCGACGAUCCGUAGCUGGUCUGAGAGGAUGAUCAGCCACAUCGGGACUGAGACACGGCCCGAACUCCUACGGGAGGCAGCAGUGGGGAAUAUUGGACAAUGGGGGCAACCCUGAUCCAGCCAUGCCGCGUGUGUGAAGAAGGCCCUCGGGUUGUAAAGCACUUUCAGUGAGGAAGAAGGCUUGUCGGUUAAUACCCGGCAAGAAAGACAUCACUCACAGAAGAAGCACCGGCUAACUCCGUGCCAGCAGCCGCGGUAAUACGGAGGGUGCGAGCGUUAAUCGGAAUUACUGGGCGUAAAGCGUGCGUAGGCGGCUUGAUAAGCCGGUUGUGAAAGCCCCGGGCUCAACCUGGGAACGGCAUCCGGAACUGUCAGGCUAGAGUGCAGGAGAGGAAGGUAGAAUUCCCGGUGUAGCGGUGAAAUGCGUAGAGAUCGGGAGGAAUACCAGUGGCGAAGGCGGCCUUCUGGACUGACACUGACGCUGAGGUACGAAAGCGUGGGUAGCAAACAGGAUUAGAUACCCUGGUAGUCCACGCCGUAAACGAUGUCUACUAGUCGUUGGGGUCCUCGAGACCUUUGUGGCGCAUUUAACGCACUAAGUCGACCGCUUGGGGAGUACGGCCGCAAGGUAAAACUCAAAUGAAUUGACGGGGGCCUGCACAAGCGGUGGAGCAUGUGGUUUAAUUCGAU